UGGGGAAUUUUGGACAAUGGGCGAAAGCCUGAUCCAGCCAUGCCGCGUGAGUGAAGAAGGCCUUCGGGUUGUAAAGCUCUUUUAGCCGGGAAGAAAGAGCUGCUAUGAAUAAUUGUGAUUUAUGACGGUACCGACAGAAAAAGGACCGGCUAACUACGUGCCAGCAGCCGCGGUAAUACGUAGGGUGCGAGCGUUAAUCGGAAUUACUGGGCGUAAAGGGUGCGCAGGCGGUCUUGCAAGUCAGAUGUGAAAGCCCCGGGCUUAACCUGGGAAUUGCGUUUGGAACUACAAGGCUAGAGUGCGGCAGAGGGGAGUGGAAUUCCAUGUGUAGCAGUGAAAUGCGUAGAGAUGUGGAAGAACACCGAUGGCGAAGGCAGCUCCCUGGGUUGACACUGACGCUCAUGCACGAAAGCGUGGGGAGCAAACA
RNAcentral lists this ribosomal RNA (427 nucleotides) under uncultured beta proteobacterium. Its description in RNAcentral is "bacterial SSU rRNA". It matches the Rfam family "Bacterial small subunit ribosomal RNA", at positions 355 to 774 of the family's 1533-position model. The record is from RNAcentral. Lineage: Bacteria; Pseudomonadati; Pseudomonadota; Betaproteobacteria.